RNAcentral lists this ribosomal RNA (253 nucleotides) under uncultured bacterium. RNAcentral describes it as "partial 16S ribosomal RNA". It matches the Rfam family "Bacterial small subunit ribosomal RNA", at positions 524 to 776 of the family's 1533-position model. The record is from RNAcentral.
UACGAGGGGGGCAAGCGUUGUUCGGAAUUAUUGGGCGUAAAGGGCGCGUAGGCGGUGCGGUAAGUCUGAUGUGAAAUCUCCCGGCUCAACCGGGAGGGUGCGCCGAAUACUGAGUGACUAGAGUGCGGGAGAGGAAAGUGGAAUUCCUGGUGUAGCGGUGAAAUGCGUAGAUAUCAGGAGGAACACCGGUGGUGUAGACGGCUUUCUGGACCGUAACUGACGCUGAGACACGAAAGCGUGGGUAGCAAACAGG